UACAGAGGGGGCGAGCGUUGUUCGGAAUCACUGGGCGUAAAGGGUGCGUAGGCGGUCAGUUAAGUCUGAUGUGAAAGCCCUCGGCUCAACUGGGGAAUGGCAUUGGAAACUAGCUGGCUAGAGUACCGGAGAGGGAAGCGGAAUUCCUGGUGUAGCGGUGAAAUGCGUAGAUACCAGGAGGAACACCGGUGGCGAAGGCGGUUCUCUGGGCAUUACCUGACGCUGAGGAGCGAAAGUGUGGGGAGCGAACAGG
Molecule: ribosomal RNA, 253 nt
Filed under: uncultured bacterium
Lineage: Bacteria
Description: partial 16S ribosomal RNA
Rfam family: Bacterial small subunit ribosomal RNA
Source: RNAcentral